AGGGAGCGGCGUCGCCGAGCCCCGAGGCGGCGGAGCGGCGGCGGCCCCGGUGCCUGCGCCGCUCGGGGGCCGGGCUGGGCGGGGCCGGACGUGAGCGAAUUUCCGCGGGGCCGCCAUGGCGGCAAAAAGUCCUCCUGAUAGCACUCCAAGAAGGCCUGUUUUAUCUGUCAGUGCAAGAAAAAUUAAAGAUAAUGCAGCAGACUGGCAUAAUUUAAUGAUGAAAUGGGAGAGACUGAAUGAGAAUGGAUUUACUACAGCAAACAAAAUAGUCAACAUGAGGAUCAGUGAGCAAUUUCAAGACAACAAACUGGAGAUAGCAUGUGAUAACAAUGCCACAGAACCUGAAAAGCCAACCCGAAAAUACAAUGAAGAGCUGGACAAUUGCUGUGCAGAAUUACUUGAGACCUUAAAGCAUAUGACAAAAAUACAACUGAAAAUGGAAAAGCUUACUUCGACUACUAAAGCAAUCUGUGACUUGGAAACAUUCCACCAUGGAGCUGGGAAUAGCACGGCGCCCUUCUUUCAUACAUGGCCCACACCAUACUUCUAUGAGGUUUCUCUGAAGCUGUCUGAAAUGUACAAGAAGGAACUACAACUCAAGCAAACAAUUGUACAAGACAUUGCUCAUUCUGCUGACCAGGAUCUGAUGAUGGUGUAUUUAUCCUCGUGGCUGUACCAGCCUUACAUUGAGAACAGCAGCAUGCUGCUGCUGGAAGCCAUGCUGCUGGAAACAGGACACAGGCAGUGCUAGAGUUCUAAGGGUUACAUGGCUGCCUUCUAGUGAUGCAUAUAUGAAACUGAACUGCCCAAUUGCAAGGCUUACCAAGCAUGAUGCACUUGCUGAACUGCCUGCAGCCACGGCAGGAUUUGGAGACCUUGAAGCCGAUGCUGUGGCACAAGGAGCCUUCUGUCCAUUCACCAUCUUAGACGGGGGAAUCUUGUCCACAGACACUGAGCCAUGAGAUGCUGAAG
Molecule: RNA transcript, 972 nt
Organism: Prinia subflava (tawny-flanked prinia)
Lineage: Eukaryota; Metazoa; Chordata; Aves; Passeriformes; Cisticolidae
Gene: CINP
Gene name: cyclin dependent kinase 2 interacting protein
Exons: 6
Source: RefSeq, a predicted model, not a curated record